Limulus polyphemus (Atlantic horseshoe crab) is the source of this 1432-nucleotide long non-coding RNA. RefSeq lists it as uncharacterized. The record is from RefSeq and is a predicted model, not a curated record. Lineage: Eukaryota; Metazoa; Arthropoda; Merostomata; Xiphosura; Limulidae. The transcript has 4 exons.
UUGAGAAGCUGAUAGCAGGGACCUGACUGCCCUUAAAUUUCCUGUGUUAAUGAUGUUUUUUGUGAAUCCUUUACGUGUAUCGUUUAUGUUUUUAUAAAAUCAUUUCCGUUAAUGUACAUACUUAUAUAUAUUUUUAUUCCGACAUUCAGGGAAAACAUUAUUAUAAAAUACAUCAAAUCAAGGCAUAUUCCAUGACCAGGGUUAACCUGGUAUGGCUGAGACAAUGCCACCAUUUUACCAAUAUGGAUUUACUCAUAGAGAUCCCAUCUCAAGAUCAGGAUCAGCUAACACAGCAGCACCUACAGGGACCAUUGAAAAGCUGUCAUCUUGAAGUUAUAGGGGAAUUUAAAGCACAGAUCUGGGCCUCCAGGUGCAGGAGAGUAUUCCAGCGUACGUGAGAAGACUCUAGCGAAAUCUUGAAAAGGGUUAGGAAAGCCGUCCGCCUACAUCUGAGAGCUGAUGUUUAUGCCUUAACAAAGAGGAUUUCUCAAAAAAUGGAACAUGGAAAACUCCUCUAUCUUUCAAAAUCUUGGCGAUGACCUCGACCUCAACUUUUAACACCAGUGGCCGCUCUAGCUACAAAUCCAUGUCAUCUUGGAAGUUCGGACGGGAGAGAAGGACUGCGGCGGGCCAACUCCACUUCUGGAGACUAAUAGUGUGAUGCAAUGUUCUUUUAGUGUUGUGCGUGAUUACGAACUCGGGUUCUGUGCCUUUCUUUGCAUAUGGACCGAAAGUAACACGGUGGCUUUAUCCAGCGCUAACAAUCAUGCAUUCAAUCUACGUGUUUGUGUUAAGUGUUUUCCUCUUUUCAGUUUAUUCCAGUUCCUCUUGUUAGCCAGGGAGAACGAGCAUUUAAACAACACCAGCCUCAUCAAACCGGGUCUCGAAAGAGGUUUCAAAACUAAAGCUGAUAGAGAAAUGAGAAAACCUAAUGGAUGGCUACCCCAAAUACAGUUUAUCUUUUUGGAAUAAACCUGAAUCUUGGAAUCAGUGAUCUUCGACUCUUCAUUGGUUCUGACUGUGAAACAUCUUUUUCUUUUCCAUAUUUGUUGUUUGAAAACUACCUUUAAAUCAGCUUGUGGAUACGUUUUACGAAAACAUCUAUAUAAUUGAUUCUUCACAUCCAAUAAAGGAUUGCUUGUAUAUGACAAAAUUAUACUUAUUGUUUGUUUUGGAACAUUAAUUGUAGUUGUUUAACAUUGUUGACUUUAUCCAGAUAGGUAGAAAUUAUAUUGUCUAUCAUAGUAUUUGAAAAACCAUUUUUAUUAAAAAAUAUUUUCAUAUCAUUCAGUCUUUAUAAAAAUAUUCAUACAUGCUAACUAUUUUAUAAGCACGAUGAACUAUUUUAACAAAUUUGUCCUAUACAAAUCUGGAAUUCAAUUAUUUAAAUUAUAAUAUAAGCUCGUAAGUUAUCAGAGUUUUAUGUAUAUGU